Esox lucius (northern pike) is the source of this 1428-nucleotide long non-coding RNA. The record is from Ensembl. Lineage: Eukaryota; Metazoa; Chordata; Actinopteri; Esociformes; Esocidae.
CAACGUAGGAAUCCAACACUGCGGCCACUGUUUGCCCUUCGCUCUGGCCGUGAUGCCCCAAAAAUCAUUGUAUGCCUUACGGCAACAAUGUCCUUUGUGCCCCAGCCACUGUCAAAAGUAUGUUUGUAUUGUAGUUCACCAUUGAGAACAACCACAAGAACUACAUGCAGCUGUAGGAUUGGGAGAAGAUGAAGAAGGCAGAACCUGUAGGAAGGUGCUGUGGGUGACAGGAGAUGUCUAAAGAACUCAGAGAAGCCAGUUGUCCACUACUGACAUGUAGAAUAUGUUGCUCAAAUGUGCUGGCUAGGCAACCAAAGCCUUUCCAUUCCGAAUUAUUGACUGAAAUUAACCAACCAAUUGGUCAUAUUUCAUCUGUAAAUUUGCAGUUACAUCUGCAGUGUAAUGAAUGUGUUGUUUUUGAAAAGUAGUAGAUUACUGCUUGAAACAGGAUCACUUUGUCUGCUACCCUGCAUGGUGUUGAGCAUGCGAAUCGUGGGGUUUCAACAGAUGCUAGGGAGGCCAUCUGUGGAAUAAAAGCUUUUAAUCACAGAUAAGUUCAUUGGACAGUGCACCAAAGGUCUUUAAGUCUUUAAGCCCCUCUGGGGAACUUUCACACAGUUUACCACGCUGAUUUUUUUUUAAUUUGGUGCUACAUCAAAAGGCACACAUUUUUCUAAAUGCAAUUGAUGUUCCUGAUUGACCUGCACUGCCUGUCUGUUCUCCACCUGCUGGAGAAUCAUUUUGACCGGUUAGAGAGGGGACAGCAAUGAUCUUGACUUAGUGCUUUCUGACCCUGGAGUCAUAAAGGACUUUGGUGGAAGGCCGGUGCCUGUUAAUGAACCUUUCUGGGGAUUGUAUUGCAGUUUACCUCUACAGUGAAAAGACAAAGAAUCACACCAGACAAUGAUGGAGGAGGUGAGGAUGGACUAAAAUGUAUGCCCUCAAUCUCAGGGUGGAGCGCUGGUGAAUUAUUUUUGUAAUUUUUUCCACUGUAUUUUUGACUGCAUCAAGGCCAUCAGUGAAGAGAACAGCUAUAAAUCCCAGCAAUAGGGUUGCUAAGAAGAUGUUUAAAUCAGGAAUUAGGUCAGUCAUAUCUAAAUCAGGCUGGACAAGCAAUUCUCUAGUAAUGACUCAACUUUUGUCUGGAAAGACAGAUUGCAAAAUACAAAUCAGACAGAUGACUUACUGAAAACCAAAUCACUGGUUGUGAAAGUGGAACUGUUGAGCCAAAAUGCAUCCCCGAAAAAUGUGUGCUAUGUUAUGUUUGUGUUGAUAUGUUUUCCUUGCCGUCAAAACCACUCAUUUUCAAAUUGGAAUUUUCAUGGUUAACUGGUAUGAUUCUGAGAUUCUGCUUAUAGUUUAUGCAAAUAUAAGGAAUAUAUUACACAUCCAUAUUUACAGAAUUGCUUGUUAUUAGCAAAAGUCCCA